AACGAACGCUGGCGGCAUGCCUAACACAUGCAAGUCGAACGAGACCUUCGGGUCUAUUGGCGCACGGGUGCGUACCUCGUGGGAACCUUCCCUUAUGUUCGGAAUCCCUCCCCGCCAGGGGUGCUCAUCCCGGAUAAUGUCUUCUGACCAAAGAUUUAUCGCCUUUGGCUGUGCCCUCGUUGGAUUCGCUAGUUGGUAGGGUAAACGCCUACCAAGGCGACGAUCCAUAGCUGGUCUGAGAGGAUGAUCAGCCACACUGGGACUGAGACACGGCCCAGAAUCCUACGGGAGGCAGCAGUGGGGAAUAGUGGACAAUGGGCGAAAGCCUGAUCCAGCAAUGCCGCGUGAGUGAUGAAGGCCUUAGGGUUGUAAAGCUCUUUUACCCGGGAUGAUAAUGACAGUACCGGGAGAAUAAGCGCCGGCUAACUCCGUG
This 433-nucleotide ribosomal RNA is filed under the name uncultured bacterium. RNAcentral's name for it is "partial 16S ribosomal RNA". It matches the Rfam family "Bacterial small subunit ribosomal RNA", at positions 29 to 507 of the family's 1533-position model. The record is from RNAcentral.